This 491-nucleotide ribosomal RNA is filed under the name uncultured bacterium. Its description in RNAcentral is "partial 16S ribosomal RNA". It matches the Rfam family "Bacterial small subunit ribosomal RNA", at positions 29 to 507 of the family's 1533-position model. The record is from RNAcentral.
GUGAACGCUGGCGGUAGGCCUAACACAUGCAAGUCGAACGGCAGCACAGUAAGAGCUUGCUCUUACGGGUGGCGAGUGGCGGACGGGUGAGGAAUACAUCGGAAUCUACUUUUUCGUGGGGGAUAACGUAGGGAAACUUACGCUAAUACCGCAUACGACCUACGGGUGAAAGCAGGGGAUCUUCGGACCUUGCGCGAUUGAAUGAGCCGAUGUCGGAUUAGCUAGUUGGCGGGGUAAAGGCCCACCAAGGCGACGAUCCGUAGCUGGUCUGAGAGGAUGAUCAGCCACACUGGAACUUAGACACGGUCCAGACUCCUACGGGAGGCAGCAGUGGGGAAUAUUGGACAAUGGGCGCAAGCCUGAUCCAGCCAUACCGCGUGGGUGAAGAAGGCCUUCGGGUUUUAAAGCCCUUUUGUUGGGAAAGAAAAGCAGCAGGUUAAUACCCCGCUGUUCUGACGGUACCCAAAGAAUAAGCACCGGCUAACUUCGUG